GACGAACGCUGGCGGCGUGCUUAACACAUGCAAGUCGAACGGAAAGGCCCCAGCUUGCUGGGGUACUCGAGUGGCGAACGGGUGAGUAACACGUGGGUGAUCUGCCCUGCACUCUGGGAUAAGCCUGGGAAACUGGGUCUAAUACCGGAUAGGACCGUGCUUUAGUGUGUGCGGUGGAAAGUUUUUCGGUGCAGGAUGAGCCCGCGGCCUAUCAGCUUGUUGGUGGGGUAAUGGCCUACCAAGGCGGCGACGGGUAGCCGGCCUGAGAGGGUGUACGGCCACAUUGGGACUGAGACACGGCCCAGACUCCUACGGGAGGCAGCAGUGGGGAAUAUUGCACAAUGGGCGCAAGCCUGAUGCAGCGACGCCGCGUGGGGGAUGACGGCCUUCGGGUUGUAAACCCCUUUCGGCAGGGACGAAGCGUUUGUGACGGUACCUGCAUAAGAAGCACCGGCUAACUACGUG
RNAcentral lists this ribosomal RNA (465 nucleotides) under uncultured bacterium. Its description in RNAcentral is "partial 16S ribosomal RNA". It matches the Rfam family "Bacterial small subunit ribosomal RNA", at positions 28 to 507 of the family's 1533-position model. The record is from RNAcentral.